GGACAUGAAGGCGAUCUGGCUGCAACAUGUCACUCCAUUGAUCUCCAGGGUUGGUUUGACUGCUCUGGAUGGCUGGGUGGGUGUCCUCUUCCCCCUCACUGCUCUGCAGGCCUCCCUCCUAAAGCCGCCAGCACUUGGCCAAGAGAACUAUCUUCCUUGAUAUAGGGGGACCGUUCUUUGAUCAAGGGUAUACAAAAUGUUGCGUUCCCCUGAUACAACCUCCAAACAAGCUCUCAAGGUCCAUUUGUAGGUGAACAUAGGGUAGUUCAAGCUCCUAAGAUGCCAAACGCAUCCAGAUGAGGCCCUGUGCAAGGCAGACUGCCCUUGGAA
Mustela putorius furo (domestic ferret) is the source of this 330-nucleotide non-coding RNA. NCBI's taxonomy places the organism in Eukaryota, Metazoa, Chordata, Mammalia, Carnivora, Mustelidae. The record is from Rfam.